Molecule: ribosomal RNA, 274 nt
Filed under: uncultured bacterium
Lineage: Bacteria
Description: partial 16S ribosomal RNA
Rfam family: Bacterial small subunit ribosomal RNA
Source: RNAcentral
AUACGGAGGGAGCGAGCGUUAAUCGGAAUUACUGGGCGUAAAGCGCGCGUAGGCGGCUUUGUAAGUCGGAUGUGAAAGCCCUGGGCUUAACCUGGGAAUGGCAUUCGAUACUGCAUGGCUAGAGUAUGGUAGAGGGAAGUGGAAUUUCCGGUGUAGCGGUGAAAUGCGUAGAUAUCGGAAGGAACACCAGUGGCGAAGGCGACUUCCUGGGCCAAUACUGACGCUGAGGUGCGAAAGCGUGGGGAGCAAACAGGAUUAGAAACCCCAGUAGUCC